RNAcentral lists this transfer RNA (71 nucleotides) under Loxodonta africana (African savanna elephant). It matches the Rfam family "tRNA". From Rfam's summary of the family: Transfer RNA (tRNA) molecules are approximately 80 nucleotides in length. Their secondary structure includes four short double-helical elements and three loops (D, anti-codon, and T loops). Lineage: Eukaryota; Metazoa; Chordata; Mammalia; Proboscidea; Elephantidae. The record is from Rfam by way of RNAcentral.
GCAGUGGUGGUUUAGUGGUAGAAUUCUCGCCUUCCAUGCAGGAGACCUGGGUUCAAUUCCCAGCCAAAGCG